GCAGGCGUGGUGGAAUUGGUAGACACGCUAGAUUUAGGAUCUAGUGCCGCAAGGUGUGUGAGUUCGAGUCUCUCCGCCUGCA
RNAcentral lists this transfer RNA (82 nucleotides) under Robiginitalea biformata HTCC2501. Its description in RNAcentral is "tRNA-Leu (TAG) (tRNA-Leu-TAG-1-1)". It matches the Rfam family "tRNA". Rfam says of the family: Transfer RNA (tRNA) molecules are approximately 80 nucleotides in length. Their secondary structure includes four short double-helical elements and three loops (D, anti-codon, and T loops). The record is from Rfam by way of RNAcentral. RNAcentral also lists the same sequence under 2 other names. Lineage: Bacteria; Pseudomonadati; Bacteroidota; Flavobacteriia; Flavobacteriales; Flavobacteriaceae.